CGCACCUUGCGCUCCUUGGUAUUCCGAGGAGCAUGCCUGUUUGAGUGUCAUUAAUAUAUCAACCUCUUCAGCUUUUGCUUGUUGAGUGUUGGAUGUGGGGGCUUUUUGCUGGUCUUUUUAAAGAAGUCAGCUCCCCUAAAAUUUAUUAGCGGAACAAUUUGUUGACCGUUCAUUGGUGUGAUAAUUAUCUACGCUAUUAACGUGAGGCAGUUCAGCUUCUAACAGUCCAUUGACUUGGACAGUUUUUCAUUAAUGUGACCUCAAAUCAGGUAGGACUACCCGCUGAACUUAAGCAUAUCAAUAAGCGGAGG
Molecule: ribosomal RNA, 311 nt
Filed under: uncultured Cortinarius
Lineage: Eukaryota; Fungi; Basidiomycota; Agaricomycetes; Agaricales; Cortinariaceae
Description: eukaryotic LSU rRNA
Rfam family: Eukaryotic large subunit ribosomal RNA (bases 256-311)
Source: RNAcentral